RNAcentral lists this ribosomal RNA (253 nucleotides) under uncultured bacterium. Its description in RNAcentral is "partial 16S ribosomal RNA". It matches the Rfam family "Bacterial small subunit ribosomal RNA", at positions 524 to 776 of the family's 1533-position model. The record is from RNAcentral.
UACUGAUGGUGCGAGCGUUGUCCGGAAUCACUGGGCGUAAAGGGCGCGUAGGUGGCCUGGUAAGUCGGGGGUGAAAUCUCGCGGCUCAACUGCGAGGCUGCCUCCUAAACUGUCAGGCUCGAGCAAAGUAGAGGCAGGUGGAAUUCCCGGUGUAGCGGUGGAAUGCGUAGAUAUGCGGAGGAACACCGAUGGCGAAGGCAACCCCCUGGGCCUGCACUGACGCUCAUGCACGAAAGCGUGGGGAGCAAACAGG